RNAcentral lists this ribosomal RNA (466 nucleotides) under uncultured bacterium. RNAcentral describes it as "partial 16S ribosomal RNA". It matches the Rfam family "Bacterial small subunit ribosomal RNA", at positions 28 to 507 of the family's 1533-position model. The record is from RNAcentral.
GAUGAACGCUGGCGGCGUGCUUAACACAUGCAAGUCGAACGAUGAAGCCCAGCUUGCUGGGUGGAUUAGAGGCGAACGGGUGAGUAACACGUGAGUAACCUGCCCUUAACUCUGGGAUAAGCCUGGGAAACUGGGUCUAAUACCGGAUAGGAGCGUCCACCGCAUGGUGGGUGUUGGAAAGAUUUAUCGGUUUUGGAUGGACUCGCGGCCUAUCAGCUUGUUGGUGAGGUAAUGGCUCACCAAGGCGACGACGGGUAGCCGGCCUGAGAGGGUGACCGGCCACACUGGGACUGAGACACGGCCCAGACUCCUACGGGAGGCAGCAGUGGGGAAUAUUGCACAAUGGGCGCAAGCCUGAUGCAGCGACGCCGCGUGAGGGAUGACGGCCUUCGGGUUGUAAACCUCUUUCAGUAGGGAAGAAGCGAAAGUGACGGUACCUGCAGAAGAAGCGCCGGCUAACUACGUG